RNAcentral lists this ribosomal RNA (253 nucleotides) under uncultured bacterium. RNAcentral's name for it is "partial 16S ribosomal RNA". It matches the Rfam family "Bacterial small subunit ribosomal RNA", at positions 524 to 776 of the family's 1533-position model. The record is from RNAcentral.
UACGAACUGUGCGAACGUUAUUCGGAAUCACUGGGCUUAAAGGGUGCGUAGGCGGUUACUCAAGUCAGGUGUGAAAUCUCUCGGCUCAACCGGGAAACUGCGCUUGAAACUAGGUGACUGGAGGGAUGCAGGGGUGUGUGGAACUUCCGGUGGAGCGGUGAAAUGUGUAGAUAUCGGAAGGAACGCCAGCAGCGAAAGCGGCACACUGGGCAUUUACUGACGCUGAGGCACGAAAGCUAGGGGAGUGAACGGG